GAUGAACGCUGGCGGCGUGCCUAAUACAUGCAAGUCGAGCGAACGGACGAGAAGCUUGCUUCUCUGAUGUUAGCGGCGGACGGGUGAGUAACACGUGGAUAACCUACCUAUAAGACUGGGAUAACUUCGGGAAACCGUAGCUAAUACCGGAUAAUAUUUUGAACCGCAUGGUUCAAAAGUGAAAGACGGUCUUGCUGUCACUUAUAGAUGGAUCCGCGCUGCAUUAGCUAGUUGGUAAGGUAACGGCUUACCAAGGCAACGAUGCAUAGCCGACCUGAGAGGGUGAUCGGCCACACUGGAACUGAGACACGGUCCAGACUCCUACGGGAGGCAGCAGUAGGGAAUCUUCCGCAAUGGGCGAAAGCCUGACGGAGCAACGCCGCGUGAGUGAUGAAGGUCUUCGGAUCGUAAAACUCUGUUAUUAGGGAAGAACAUAUGUGUAAGUAACUGUGCACAUCGUGACGGUACCUAAUCAGAAAGCCACGGCUAACUACG
Molecule: ribosomal RNA, 495 nt
Filed under: uncultured bacterium
Lineage: Bacteria
Description: partial 16S ribosomal RNA
Rfam family: Bacterial small subunit ribosomal RNA
Source: RNAcentral